RNAcentral lists this ribosomal RNA (492 nucleotides) under uncultured bacterium. RNAcentral's name for it is "partial 16S ribosomal RNA". It matches the Rfam family "Bacterial small subunit ribosomal RNA", at positions 29 to 507 of the family's 1533-position model. The record is from RNAcentral.
AGUGAACGCUGGCGGUAGGCCUAACACAUGCAAGUCGAACGGCAGCACAGUAAGAGCUUGCUCUUACGGGUGGCGAGUGGCGGACGGGUGAGGAAUACAUCGGAAUCUACUUUUUCGUGGGGGAUAACGUAGGGAAACUUACGCUAAUACCGCAUACGACCUACGGGUGAAAGCAGGGGAUCUUCGGACCUUGCGCGAUUGAAUGAGCCGAUGUCGGAUUAGCUAGUUGGCGGGGUAAAGGCCCACCAAGGCGACGAUCCGUAGCUGGUCUGAGAGGAUGAUCAAGCACACUGGAACUGAGAAACGGUCCAGACUCCUACGGGAGGCAGCAGUGGGGAAUUUUGGACAAUGGGCGCAAGCCUGAUCCAGCCAUACCGCGUGGGUGAAGAAGGCCUUCGGGUUGUAAAGCCCUUUUGUUGGGAAAGAAAAGCAGCAGGUUAAUACCCCGCUGUUCUGACGGUACCCAAAGAAUAAGCACCGGCUAACUUCGUG